Molecule: ribosomal RNA, 878 nt
Filed under: Triticum aestivum (bread wheat)
Lineage: Eukaryota; Viridiplantae; Streptophyta; Magnoliopsida; Poales; Poaceae
Description: partial small subunit ribosomal RNA
Source: RNAcentral
GAAAAAUAUCUCUCAGCUCAAUCAAUCCCCACCAGCAACCUUAUCCAUCCGCCUGCACCACCUCUUCCAUUAUCCGACUGAUGAAGAUCUUGCCGCUUGCCAUCACCGAACUAAUUCCCAAACCAUCGCGACUACACUUGUUGAUUCAUUUCUUCCAACUUCUCUUCGUCUGGCGCAGUCUGCAGUUGCGCGGAGUGCGCGGGCGCAUUCUCAAGGACCUGGAUCCUCGACGACCUCGUGGAGUCCGGCGGAGCGUUCUCAAGGGUUUCGGCCAAGGUGAUGACAUGGCCGACGGCUAGAGAACCAUGGCAGAGUGAGAUGCUGGCCUCCUCUUUGUUCUUGCUGGCCUCCUCAUUGUUCUUCCUGUCAAAUUACUAUUAAAUUCCCAUUGCUAUCAUUUGGCUCCUCUUUCACAGGCACCCGUUCGCAUGAAAGUUCGCCAGACCGAAAGUGGUUUCGGGUCACUUCUUCCGACGUUGAUUGGAGCAGUUGGGCGUAACUUCAUCGGGCGUCGAGUGUGCUUUGGCGUGACUUCGUCGGAAGUCGAUUGAAGCGGCUGGAGGUGGCUUUUGGUGUGGACGUCGAGUCGCGUGUGGCUUGUUCAAGUCGUGGUUGCUGACUUCUAACUGUUUGGUGGUUGCUUGUCCGGCCGGCUAUACUUAUAUAAUGGGUUGUGUUGAGGUGUCUUGGGUUGAGGUGGCUGAGACCGUGUGGAGAUCAGAUUGUGAAAUUGUCUGUAUUUGUUUCUGUUUUGGAACUUUCCUCGCGUGGUCUGGUGGUUGUCCUUAUUUUGUUUAGGUUCCUUAUUUGUUUAGGUUUGACUAUUAUUUUUUCUUAUCCUUGACCCAUUGAUGGAAAGAUAUUUUUUAUUUGUGCGG